Long non-coding RNA from Drosophila elegans, 859 nucleotides. RefSeq lists it as uncharacterized. The record is from RefSeq and is a predicted model, not a curated record. The transcript has 2 exons. Lineage: Eukaryota; Metazoa; Arthropoda; Insecta; Diptera; Drosophilidae.
UAGAGAAGUUACAAUUUUUGUGUUUUUUUUUAUUAUUCCGAUUGUUUCCAUGGAAGCUAGAUGAUAUAGACGAAAUGCACUUGUAUGAAAACACUGAGGGUUUGAAAAGAACCUUAUUCGCGUCGUUAAAUAGCGACCUUCUAGCGCUUGGUAGACCUAAAGUGGGUAGCUACAUGGCCAUAUUGCUGCAACAACAAAGUAAGUUCUUUCAGCGGCGUUCUAAAAACGGAACAUUUUCCUUGGCCACGCCGCCUGCUGCAGUUUUUUUUACCGGAAAACUCAUUGCCGAGAAUACGAUAAGACCGCCCAAGGCAAAUCGUGAACUCCUGCUGAAGACUUUCAUUGGACUGGCUGCUGUCUGUCCCCAACGGCGAGGAGUCUAAUCUACGCAAACCGACUGAUGGCGCCAGUGAAAUGAUUCGUGGGUUAGAUGGGAUUGGAGUGAUUCAUCUUGUCCUAGCCAAAUCAACGCCGACCCGAGAAGGAAGUGGGUAGAUGACAUCAGAGCUCAGCAUUACCAACCGUUAAAGGCUUGUUUAAAUUUCUGGAUGCUGCGAGGAUUUUGAACAAAGCCAAAUUCGAGCCUGGCAGUCACACGGACAAGUCUGCCAAAGCAAAGCGCGCACUUAUUGCAGUUAACCGUGGCAAAUGCGAUCCUUUUCCGACGGUGACAGCUGAUCAAAAAGAAUUAUGUUAGAUUAAUUGGUGAAUGUGGUUGUUGUUUUUCUAUGAAGGAAUUGCAUACGAUGGAAAAGACUUAUCUAUACAUAAUAGAAAUAUUCCCAAAUGAAAUUGACGUAAAUUGUAUUAGCCUAACAAUAUAACAAAAUAAAAACGAACGAACAUUACUUUAUACUAA